This 3219-nucleotide ribosomal RNA is filed under the name Triticum aestivum (bread wheat). Its description in RNAcentral is "partial small subunit ribosomal RNA". The record is from RNAcentral. Lineage: Eukaryota; Viridiplantae; Streptophyta; Magnoliopsida; Poales; Poaceae.
AUGCGGGGCGACGCGCCGCCGCCUACCGCGCCAUCGGCCUCCUCCUCCUCCGCCUCCCCCUCCCUCUUCGGCGGCGGCGGUGGCGAGCUCUUCGAGUCGGGGCCCUCGCCGCUCGUCUUCCUGCCCCUGCUCCUGAUCCAGGGCGGCGGCAUGGACCUCUCCCGCGUCGGCGAGAGGCUCCUCAGCUCCGUCCGCUCCGCGCGCUCCCUCGGCCUCAUCCCCCCGACCCCAGCCCCUGCCCCUUCCCGCCCCGAGGUUCCAGCUCGAGCUGCUGCAGCCGCGGCCGCUGCGCGCGCGAUCGCCGGGCUGCCACCACACGAGAGGAUCAACCUGCCGUCCAAUUCGGAGGACCUGGUCUCGAUCUACGGGAGCAACCCGCAGGGGCCAGCCGUUGAUGAGCUCGAGGAGGUGUUCUAUGAGGAGGAAUUCGACCCCAUAAAGUACAUUCUGGCAAAUAUUUCGGAAGGAGCUGGUGACGCCACCUAUUUCGAUAAGCAGUCUACUUUGAGAUUAGCGCAGCUCGACAAGAUUGCAGAACGAUUGUCUCAUCAUGUUAUGGGUCACCAUGAAGAAAUGGUGAAGGGGAUGCAGUUAGUGAUGGAGUUAGAACAAGACUUAAAGGUUGCAAAUGUGAUCUGCAUGAACGGUCGAAGGCACAUAUCCUCUUCCAAGAAUGAGGUGUCAAGGGAUCUGGUUGUCAAUGUAAAAUCAAAGAAAAAACAAGCUUUGUUGGAUGUUCUUCCUGUUCUUACAGAACUUCGACAUGCUCAAGAUAUGCAAAUGGAGCUAGAAACUUUUGUUGAGAAAGAAAAUUACUUUCAGGCAUUUCAAUUAUUACCAGAGUAUCUGCAAAUCUUGGAGAACUAUUCAGGCCUUUCCGCCGUACAAGAAAUGGGACGAGGGAUUGAGGCAUGGUUAGCAAGGACAAUCAGAAAGUUGGACAACCAUUUACUGGGAGUUUGUCAGACCUUCAGUGAAGAAAGCUAUCUAACCGUGAUUGAUGCAUUCGCAUUGAUGGGUGACAUUGGUGGCAUGGCUGAAAAGAUGCAGAGUUUCUUUUUGCAAGAAGUACUCUCUCGAACACAUAUUGUCCUGAAGGAAAUGUUGGAAGAGGAGGUGGGAAAUAAUACACAGAGAAAUAGAUUUACAUACAGUGAUCUUUGUGUUCAAGUUCCUGAGUCCAAACUCCGCUCCUGCUUGUUAAAAACUCUUGAGAGCAUAUUUUCGUUGAUGCGGUCAUAUUAUGCUAUUAUGAGCUUUUGCCCAGAAGCAAAGAAUAACACGUCUAAGAGUCCAAGUGGAACUUCAGCUGAUACAGGAAGAAGCCAUUCAAGUGCAGUAGUCAAUCAGGAUGAUGUUGCUGCCACGAAGAGCGACAGGAUGCCAUCUUCUGUCAGUAAUCCUGAUGCUAGCACAUCAGGAACAGAUGCUCCAUUCUAUCAACUGAGGACAGAUGCUACAAAACUUGUUAAAUAUACAUUUGAAAGGGGCCGGAGAAAUCUUUGGCAACUGGCAACAAGUCGCCUGUCUGUUUUACUGGCUUGUUCAGCUGUUUCUUCAACUAGCAUAUACCAAUUUCUGAAGAACUAUGAAGAUCUCACACUAUUUAUUCUGGCCGGUGAAGCAUUUUGUGGGUUUGAAGCUAGCGAAUUCCGACAGAAGCUGAAGACAGUCUGUUUGAACUACAUAGUGACCUUUCACCGGCAAAAUAUAUACGCACUUAAAAUGGUACUGGAAAAGGAAUCUUGGACAAUAAUGUCUGCUGAAGCUAGUCAGAUAAUUAGUUUAGCAGGACUUACUGGUGAUGGCGCUGCACUGAUUUCGCCUACCAGUGGUAGUUCUACCUUGCCAAAAGAUUAUUUCCGUGGAAAUUCUACCGCAACCAAUACAGGAAGGCAAAACAAUGGAUUUGCUUCCUGGCAUAAUAUGGGGAACCCAUUUUCUUUCAAGUUAGAGAAUGGCUCCGCGGAAUCCCCCAAGGGCAAUGUGCUGUUCAACUCAUCAGUUGGCAAUGGAAAUAAUUCACCAUUUGAUGAAGAGAAUGAAGACCUUCUUGCUGAUUUCAUUGAUGAAGAUAGUCAAUUGCCCAGUAGGACAUUGAAAACAAAAAUUGUGAAAGGCAAUACUUCACAUUGGAAAGAUGGAGACAUUUCAUCACAGACAGGAUCAUCACUUUCUUUAUUAAGGAUGAUGGAUAAAUAUGCUAGACUUAUGCAAAAGCUGGAAAUGGUCAAUGUUGAGCUUUUUAAGGGCAUGUUCCAACUUUUUGGCAUCUUUUAUCACCACAUAUAUGAGACAUUUGGGUACCAGGACAGGAGUCAAAGUGGCAAGCCACUACCUGAUUCUCAAUCAUUUCGGCUUAAAGCGGCUUUAUCAAAAAUAACACAAGACUCUGAUCAGUGGAUUAAACCACAGAACAGUUUGUAUCCAUCUUCAUCAUCUUUAUCAAUUGGUUCAACUAUUGCCCAAAUGGAUGUGAUGCCUACUGCGCCCCCAAGCUCAAUGUUCACCUCCUAUGGGUUAAAGGAGAGAUGCGCAGCUGCCGAAACAGUAUCACUGGUUGCUCGAGUUUUGAACAGAUCUAGAGCCCAUCUACAUUCUGUGUUGUCUCAAAAUAAUACUUCUGUUGUUGAAGAGUUUUUUGGGACAUUGGUGGACACCGUUCCAGACUUGGCUGAGCACAUUCAUAGAACAAGUGCACGGAUGCUUUUGCAUAUCAAUGGGUAUCCGGAUAAGAUAGCAAAUGCCAAAUGGGAGGUCAAGGAGCUUGGCACAGACCACAAUGGUUACGUUGAUUUAUUAUUGGGCGAGUUCAAACAUUACAAAACAAGAUUGGAUCAUGGAGGAAUUUCUAAGGAGCUCCAACACCUCUUGCUGGACUAUGGCAUAGAGAGCAUUGCAGAAGUGUUAGUUGAAGGGCUGUCUAGAGUGAAAAGGUGCACUGAUGAAGGGCGUGCAUUGAUGUCACUUGACCUUCAGGUACUGAUCAAUGGGCUGCAACACAUAGUAUCGUCAAAUGUUAAGCCGAGGCUGCAAAUUGUGGAAACUUUCGUGAAGGCUUAUUAUUUGCCAGAGACGGAGUAUGUCCACUGGGCACGGUCUCAUCCAGAAUACAGCAAGAGCCAGGUUGUCGGGCUGGUUAACCUGGUGGCCACCAUGAAAGGAUGGAAAAGGAAAACGAGGUUAGAAACCAUUGAGAAGAUUGAGGCAGCGUCGUAG